RNAcentral lists this ribosomal RNA (443 nucleotides) under uncultured bacterium. Its description in RNAcentral is "partial 16S ribosomal RNA". It matches the Rfam family "Bacterial small subunit ribosomal RNA", at positions 338 to 795 of the family's 1533-position model. The record is from RNAcentral.
CCUACGGGUGGCAGCAGUUAGGAAUAUUGGGCAAUGGAGGAAACUCUGACCCAGCAACGCCGCGUGAAGGAAGAAGGUUUUCGGAUUGUAAACUUCUGAUCUGUGGGACGAAGAAAGUGACGGUACCACAGGAGAAAGCCACGGCUAACUACGUGCCAGCAGCCGCGGUAAUCCGUAGGUGGCGAGCGUUGUCCGGAAUAACUGGGUGUAAAGGGGGCGCAGACGGCAAUGCAAGCCAGGAGUGAAAGCCCGGGGCCCAACCCCGGGACUGCUCUUGGAACUGCAUGGCUGGAGUACAGGAGGGGCAGGCGGAAUGCCUAGUGUAGCGGUGAAAUGCGUAGAUAUUAGGAGGAACACCGGUGGCGAAGGCGGCCUGCUGGACUGUGACUGACGUUGAGGCCCGAAGGCGUGGGGAGCAAACAGGAUUAGAUACCCCGGUAGUC